GAAUUUCUUACCUGGACACCAUCAGGUGAUAAAUGGUGAAUGGGACGUUGCAGCUAUUGCAUACAGGGCUUAUGAUCUUGAGGGGAAGACUGUUGGGACUGUUGGAGCUGGUCGCAUUGGCAAGCUUUUACUCCAGCGCCUAAAGCCCUUCAACUGCAACCUUCUCUAUCAUGAUCGGCUUAAGAUGGAUCCCGAACUGGAGUCAGCUAUAGGGGCAAAGUUUGAGGAAGAUCUUGAUGCUAUGCUUCCCAAGUGUGACAUAAUUGUCAUCAAUACACCCCUUACUGAGAAAACAAGGGGGUUGUUUGACAAAAAUAGGAUUGCAAAAUUGAAGAAAGGAGUUCUCAUUGUGAACAAUGCGCGUGGAGCGAUAAUGGACACUCAAGCAGUUGCAGAUGCUUGCUCUACUGGGCAUAUUGGGGGUUACAGCGGGGAUGUGUGGUACCCUCAACCAGCUCCAAAGGAUCAUCCAUGGCGCUACAUGCCUAACCAGGCCAUGACCCCACAUAUUUCUGGGACGACGAUUGAUGCACAGCUGAGAUAUGCUGCUGGAACAAAGGACAUGCUGGACAAGUACUUUAAGGGAGAGGACUUCCCCGCGCAGAACUACAUUGUUAAGGAAGGCAAACUUGCGAGCCAGUACCUCUGAUUCUACAGCCAUCUCGAUCGCAGUUUCUGGUGUGGAUCUGCACUUCUCAGUAGCUAAAAGUAAUAAAGACUUUGAGAAGUGUGUAGUGUUUUUCCUAACUUGGUUCUGUUUGAAGGUAUCGGACUCCGAACUUUCGGGUCAAUAAAUGCAAUGCCUGCCUAAGUUUUAAAUUUUGUAUUGUGAUGUUAAGAACUAAUGCUGAAGAAGUAUUUGGUAAUUCCUGAAAUGAACAGUUUCUUUAAA
Molecule: unclassified non-coding RNA, 892 nt
Filed under: Hevea brasiliensis (rubber tree)
Lineage: Eukaryota; Viridiplantae; Streptophyta; Magnoliopsida; Malpighiales; Euphorbiaceae
Source: RNAcentral